This 253-nucleotide non-coding RNA is filed under the name uncultured bacterium. RNAcentral's name for it is "partial 16S ribosomal RNA". It matches the Rfam family "Bacterial small subunit ribosomal RNA", at positions 524 to 776 of the family's 1533-position model. The record is from RNAcentral. RNAcentral also lists the same sequence under 1 other name.
UACGAAGGGGGCUAGCGUUGUUCGGAAUUACUGGGCGUAAAGCGCACGUAGGCGGAUAGUUUAGUCAGGGGUGAAAUCCCGGGGCCCAACCUCGGAACUGCCUUUGAUACUGGCUAUCUGGAGGAUGGAAGAGGCAAGUGGAAUUCCGAGUGUAGAGGUGAAAUUCGUAGAUAUUCGGAGGAACACCAGUGGCGAAGGCGACUUGCUGGUCCAUUUCUGACGCUGAGGUGCGAAAGCGUGGGGAGCAAACAGG